RNAcentral lists this ribosomal RNA (468 nucleotides) under uncultured bacterium. RNAcentral's name for it is "partial 16S ribosomal RNA". It matches the Rfam family "Bacterial small subunit ribosomal RNA", at positions 28 to 507 of the family's 1533-position model. The record is from RNAcentral.
GACGAACGCUGGCGGCGUGCUUAACACAUGCAAGUCGAACGGAGAGGCCCUGCUUUUGUGGGGUGCUCGAGUGGCGAACGGGUGAGUAACACGUGAGUAACCUGCCCUUGACUUUGGGAUAACUUCAGGAAACUGGGGCUAAUACCGGAUAGGAGCUCCUGCUGCAUGGUGGGGGUUGGAAAGUUUCGGCGGUUGGGGAUGGACUCGCGGCUUAUCAGCUUGUUGGUGGGGUAGUGGCUUACCAAGGCUUUGACGGGUAGCCGGCCUGAGAGGGGGACCGGCGACAUUGGGACUGAGGGAGGGCGCAGACUCCUACGGGAGGCAGCGGUGGGGAAUAUUGCACAAUGGGCGGAAGCCUGAUGCAGCAGCGCCGCGUGCGGGAUGACGGCCUUCGGGUUGUGAACCGCUUUCGCCUGUGACGAAGCGUGGGUGACGGUAAUGGGUAAAGAAGCACCGGCUAACUACGUG